UGGGGAAUAUUGGACAAUGGGGGCAACCCUGAUCCAGCAAUGCCGCGUGUGUGAAGAAGGCCUUCGGGUUGUAAAGCACUUUUAUCGGGAACGAAACAUUGUCGGUGAAUAUCCGGCAAGACUGACGGUACCCGAGGAAUAAGCACCGGCUAACUUCGUGCCAGCAGCCGCGGUAAUACGAAGGGUGCAAGCGUUACUCGGAAUUACUGGGCGUAAAGGGUGCGUAGGUGGUUUUUUAAGUCUGCUGUGAAAUCCCCGGGCUCAACCUGGGAAUGGCAGUGGAUACUGGAAAGCUGGAGUGCGGUAGAGGGUAGUGGAAUUCCCGGUGUAGCAGUGAAAUGCGUAGAGAUCGGGAGGAACACCAGUGGCGAAGGCGGCUACCUGGACCAGCACUGACACU
RNAcentral lists this ribosomal RNA (400 nucleotides) under uncultured bacterium. RNAcentral's name for it is "bacterial SSU rRNA". It matches the Rfam family "Bacterial small subunit ribosomal RNA", at positions 355 to 747 of the family's 1533-position model. The record is from RNAcentral.